AGCUUGAACCCCGCUACUGGAAUAAGUUUCCUGGUUCUUUCCGCGCCUUGCAGGUGGUGUCCUUCAGACGUGGAUCAAUCAUCAACACCAUGGACCUACAAUUUGUAAACACAUCUGUUCCUGACAACUCUGCGAUUCAGAGUGUUUUGAUCGCUGCAGCUUCAGUGGUUCAAGGCUUUGACAUUGAAGGCAGCUCCAUCACUGUUGGAACGUCUUUAACAACAACCACAACCACCCCACUGACGACAACGACAACGACAGCACCAACAACAACC
This is a long non-coding RNA of Mugil cephalus (flathead mullet), 275 nucleotides long. RefSeq lists it as uncharacterized. NCBI's taxonomy places the organism in Eukaryota, Metazoa, Chordata, Actinopteri, Mugiliformes, Mugilidae. The record is from RefSeq and is a predicted model, not a curated record. The transcript is spliced from 3 exons.